This 70-nucleotide transfer RNA is filed under the name Dipodomys ordii (Ord's kangaroo rat). It matches the Rfam family "tRNA". From Rfam's summary of the family: Transfer RNA (tRNA) molecules are approximately 80 nucleotides in length. Their secondary structure includes four short double-helical elements and three loops (D, anti-codon, and T loops). Further hydrogen bonds mediate the characteristic L-shaped molecular structure. tRNAs have two regions of fundamental functional importance: the anti-codon, which is responsible for specific mRNA codon recognition, and the 3' end, to which the tRNAs corresponding amino acid is attached (by aminoacyl-tRNA synthetases). tRNAs cope with the degeneracy of the genetic code in two manners: having more than one tRNA (with a specific anti-codon) for a particular amino acid; and 'wobble' base-pairing, i.e. permitting non-standard base-pairing at the 3rd anti-codon position. The record is from Rfam by way of RNAcentral. Lineage: Eukaryota; Metazoa; Chordata; Mammalia; Rodentia; Heteromyidae.
GGGAAUGUGGCUUAGUGGUAGAGUGCUUGCCUAGUAUGCAUGAAGCCCUGGGUUCCAUUCCUCAGCACCA